UCGGGAAUUUUGGGCAAUGGGCGAAAGCCUGACCCAGCAACGCCGCGUGAAGGAUGAAGUAUUUCGGUAUGUAAACUUCGAAAGAAUAGGAAGAAUAAAUGACGGUACUAUUUGUAAGGUCCGGCUAACUACGUGCCAGCAGCCGCGGUAAUACGUAGGGACCAAGCGUUGUUCGGAUUUACUGGGCGUAAAGGGCGCGUAGGCGGCAAUUCAAGUCAUCUGUGAAAUCUCCGGGCUUAACUCGGAACGGUCAGAUGAUACUGCUUUGCUAGAGUGCAGAAGGGGCAAUCGGAAUUCUUGGUGUAGCGGUGAAAUGCGUAGAUAUCAAGAGGAACACCUGAGGUGAAGACGGGUUGCUGGGCUGACACUGACGCUGAGGCGCGAAAGCUAGGGUAGCAAACGGGAUUAGAUACCCCCGUAGUCCCUGAGCGGGCUGGCAAGGCGCAU
This 447-nucleotide ribosomal RNA is filed under the name uncultured bacterium. RNAcentral describes it as "bacterial SSU rRNA". It matches the Rfam family "Bacterial small subunit ribosomal RNA", at positions 355 to 825 of the family's 1533-position model. The record is from RNAcentral.